UUUCCUUUUUCUUUUUUUUUUUUUCUCCAGACGGACUGUUGUGCAGACUCAGGCAGCUCACUCGGGGCUGGGCAGCAGACAGUGAUUAUCGUCACCCCCUGCUUUCAUCCAUUACGGCGGGUGUUAGCAGAUGUGGGAUUUGAGACCCAAAGAAGUGAAGUAACCUGCCCAAGUUUACACAGCUUGGAGUAGAACCCGAGUUUCUAUGGACUCCAGAGCUCAUGAGUUCACCACUUUUCUGUGCCUCCUAACUCUAUGCCGCUGAGGACUCAGAAGAAGCCAGUGCUAAUGCUUUCUCCAGUUUCUCUCCUCUUGUGUGAACUGUGUGAACUGCCACUUUAAGACUCUCUUGGAGAAUCAUAAUCCAAGUUGCGAAGUCCAACAAUUCCUCUGGAGAAAUGGUUCUCAACUGGGGGCAAAUUUGGGCCCCAGGAGACAUAUGGCAAUGUCUGACAAUGUUUUUUUGAUUGUUACAAACAGGUUGGGGAGAGAGUCCUGCUAGCAUCUAGUUGGUAGAGGCCAGGGAUAAUGCUGAACAGCCUGCAGGACACCCCGAACCCCAUCAAAGACCCAAAACGUCAAUGGUACUGAGGUUGAAAAACCCUGGUCUGGAGUUUUAAUCAGUUGGCCAUUUUUCCCAUCCCAUGUUGAAAUAUUUGUAUUUAAAACAUUACAUCUGGUUUAUUUUUUCAAGAUAAUGUCCAGUGUACAGUGGAAAAUGAUGUGUUUUCCUAUCACUUUGCUCAAGAAUAAAGCUGUAAUAUUUGCAAAAUAGAUAACCUUAGUUGUCACUCAAAAUGUAAACUGUCAUAAGGGAUAAGAGAUUAACUGAUUUCACUGUCAACCUUUACAGUGUCAUUAUUUUUCCCUGUAACUGUCUGCUUGAUAUCCUUGCUGACGAAGAUGUUUUAAAAUGGAAGACAAUUAGAGGCUUUAUGUUUAUGAAAAAUGAAGUGUUCACACACAAAAGAAUGCACAGUGGACCUUUUAUGGGAUGUUUAAAAUAUCCUUUCAUUAAAAGAUUUUCUUAAGUGGCUGUUUGUCACUUAAUAGGAA
This 1056-nucleotide long non-coding RNA is filed under the name Homo sapiens (human). Its description in RNAcentral is "novel transcript". The record is from RNAcentral. Lineage: Eukaryota; Metazoa; Chordata; Mammalia; Primates; Hominidae.